UACAGAGGGUGCGAGCGUUAAUCGGAAUUACUGGGCGUAAAGGGCGCGUAGGCGGUUAUAUAAGAUAGGUGUGAAAUCCCUGGGCUUAACCUAGGAACUGCAUUUAUGACUGUAUGACUUGAGUAUUGUAGAGGGUAGUGGAAUUUCCGGUGUAGCGGUGAAAUGCGUAGAGAUCGGAAGGAACACCAGUGGCGAAGGCGGCUACCUGGACAAAUACUGACGCUGAGGCGCGAGAGCGUGGGGAGCAAACAGG
This 253-nucleotide ribosomal RNA is filed under the name uncultured bacterium. RNAcentral describes it as "partial 16S ribosomal RNA". It matches the Rfam family "Bacterial small subunit ribosomal RNA", at positions 524 to 776 of the family's 1533-position model. The record is from RNAcentral.